Molecule: ribosomal RNA, 253 nt
Filed under: uncultured bacterium
Lineage: Bacteria
Description: partial 16S ribosomal RNA
Rfam family: Bacterial small subunit ribosomal RNA
Source: RNAcentral
UACAGAGGUGGCGAGCGUUGUCCGGAUUUACUGGGUGUAAAGGGUGCUCAGGCGGUCUUGUAAGUCAGAGGUGAAAUCUCAAGGCUUAACCUUGAAACUGCCUUUGAUACUGCUGGGCUUGAGUACGGAAGAGGCGGAUGGAAUUCCUGGUGUAGCAGUGAAAUGCGUAGAGAUCAGGAGGAACACCGGUGGCGAAGGCGGUCCGCUGGUCCGUUACUAACGAUAAAGCACGAAAGAGUGGGGAGCAAACAGG